GCCCUGGCAGUCAGAGGCGAUGAAGGGCGUGCUAAUCUGCGAUAAGCGCCGGUAAGGUGAUAUGAACCGUUAUAACCGGCGAUACCCGAAUGGGGAAACCCAGUGUGAUUCGUCACACUAUCAUUAACUGAAUCCAUAGGUUAAUGAGGCGAACCGGGGGAACUGAAACAUCUAAGUACCCCGAGGAAAAGAAAUCAACCGAGAUUCCCCCAGUAGCGGCGAGCGAACGGGGAGGAGCCCAGAGCCUGAAUCAGCAUGUGUGUUAGUGGAAGCGUCUGGAAAGGCGCGCGAUACAGGGUGACAGCCCCGUACACAAAAGCGCAUGUGCUGUGAGCUCGAUGAGUAGGGCGGGACACGUGGUAUCCUGUCUGAAUAUGGGGGGACCAUCCUCCAAGGCUAAAUACUCCUGACUGACCGAUAGUGAACCAGUACCGUGAGGGAAAGGCGAAAAGAACCCCGGCGAGGGGAGUGAAAAAGAACCUGAAACCGUGUACGUACAAGCAGUGGGAGCACAGG
This 516-nucleotide ribosomal RNA is filed under the name Salmonella enterica. RNAcentral describes it as "partial 23S ribosomal RNA". It matches the Rfam family "Bacterial large subunit ribosomal RNA", at positions 30 to 585 of the family's 2925-position model. Lineage: Bacteria; Pseudomonadati; Pseudomonadota; Gammaproteobacteria; Enterobacterales; Enterobacteriaceae. The record is from RNAcentral.